This is a long non-coding RNA of Amphiprion ocellaris (clown anemonefish), 1716 nucleotides long. The record is from Ensembl. Lineage: Eukaryota; Metazoa; Chordata; Actinopteri; Pomacentridae.
AGAAGCUACAGUAUUGAGAUUAAGAAAUCAAAUAUUCUGUAAAAUGUAAAUACACUGAACUCAUUUGGAUAUAUUUAAGUCAGACUCUAGAAUAUUAUUUGACACAAAUCUAUCUAAAUCAAAAUUUUAAUCAUUUUUACUCCAAACAUUUACUGGACUGAUUUAAAUAUUAAAAUCACUCCUUUCUAAUCCUCUGCUGUAUGUUCAAACCUGAGGCCUUAAAUAGAAACACACAAGUAUCUGUUUGAAGGAACUUCUGCAGAGUCCUGGUUCCAGAACAUGAUGAUAGAAUUAUAGACAAACUUCAACAAAAGCUGCCUGAGAGUUUACAGGUUUUCAGGUUUUCUUCAGUAAUUUAAUGAGCGUUAUCAGCAAUAAUCAAGUGUUCAUUUGAUGAACUUCAUUUCCUAAAACAUCCAGAAUUGGAGCUCAUAUCUUUGGCAGCUGUAAAGUUUCUGCUCCUUCAAAGUUCACAACACAAUGAAUUAAUUCCUAAAACACUCUCAAUGCUGGAGAACGUUUGUGAUGCUGAAGCAGUGACCAGUUUUUCUGUUUCUUCUCUGGAGAUGCACAAUGAGGGACGUCUGCAGAGACUGAGAAAGAGUCUCACCACAUCCUGACAUGAGGAAAAAGACUUUAUUGAAGACUACAAUGAGAAAAACUAUCAGACAGCAGACGGCUGCAUUCAAGUUUAGGCUGUUAGAUUGUUCCAGAUAAGACAAGUACAAGAUUCUUCAGAGCCGUUCUACCACGAGCCUGACAGGAAGAACUCCAACAGCUACUGAAUGUUCCUGUGGUUCCCUCAAGGCUACAGGAGGAGCCCUACGAGGACGAGCCGGUCCACCUGAUGGCGGCCAGUUGCUGCGGUUCAAAGCCAACACCGACUACGUGGACUUCUACUGGACCACACGGAGGCCUUCAAACCGGACCAACAAGUUCAUCGACUCCCCGACUCGUGGGUCUGAGGACGCCGCCGAGCCUCGGUCCAGCCGGCCUCCUGUCUGUGGGUGUUUGAGUGCUGAGAGGUUUGAGGAUGCAUGUGAACGUUCUGUGUUGAAACAGCAGCUUUGGACUCAGUAACGCUGGGAAAAACCAAGAGCUCCUUUAUUUGUCACUUCCACUAAAAAAACUGAUGAAAAUAAGUUUGCCAGAGUUCUGACUGAUAACAGAUUAUUAAAUAAUGAAAAUAAUCAUUUAAAUAUUCCUUUAAACAAUCCUUUUAGGUCUACAUUUCCUUUACACUGACUUCUUGGUAUAUGUAUCAGUAUUUUGGGUGGAAUAUACCAUUAAGCCCAAUGUUCAAGGGUUUUUCUGGGAAUAUACCAUUAAACCAACCUUUUAGGUAAAUGUUCCAGGGUGUUGGGUAGAAUAUACCAUCAGAUAAACCUUUUAGGUCUACAUUGGAAGAUUUUAGAGUAGAAUAUUACUCCAAACCAUCCUUUAGGUCUACAUUUAAGGUGGAAUACUCCUUUCCACCAAGAUUUUUUGGUCUACAUUGAAGGAUUUUAGUUGGAAUAUUCCUUUGAACGAACUUUUUAAGUUUAUGUUAAAGGAUGUUGGGUGGAAUAUACCAUCAGACCAACCUCCAAGGUCUACAGUAGUGAUUUUUAGGUGGAAUAUAUCAUUAAACUCACCUUUUAGGUCUACAUUGGAGGAUUUUAGGUGGAAUUUUCUUUCAAACUAUCUUUUAGUCUACAUUUAAGGAUGUUUAGGAUG